GUGAAUCAAUGUGAGAGUUGGUUGAAGGAACUUGUUAGUUGAUGAGUAUUGCAACUUGAGUAGAGACAUAAGAGUAUGGAUAGGCCUAGAGAAGCUAGAGUAUAAUAAGGGAGUUGCUCAUGCUAUUUGCUAUGUUUUCUUUGGGAUGUCAUAUUGAAGGCUAGAAAGUGUUUCUUUUGGUUAUAAGCUCCCAAUUUUAAAUAUCUUUCUCUUGAUUGUUUUUAAAGUUUACUUGUGGACAAGU
This 244-nucleotide long non-coding RNA is filed under the name Brassica napus (rape). Its description in RNAcentral is "long non-coding RNA (BNAP_LNC004028)". Lineage: Eukaryota; Viridiplantae; Streptophyta; Magnoliopsida; Brassicales; Brassicaceae. The record is from RNAcentral.